GGCUCAGAAAUCGUAGACUGCAAAUCUAAUUUUGGGUAGGAUUACCCCUGGGCUU
RNAcentral lists this transfer RNA (55 nucleotides) under Varanus salvator (water monitor). RNAcentral's name for it is "tRNA-Cys". Lineage: Eukaryota; Metazoa; Chordata; Lepidosauria; Squamata; Varanidae. RNAcentral also lists the same sequence under 4 other names. The record is from RNAcentral.